Long non-coding RNA from Cyprinus carpio (common carp), 909 nucleotides. RefSeq lists it as uncharacterized. The record is from RefSeq and is a predicted model, not a curated record. Lineage: Eukaryota; Metazoa; Chordata; Actinopteri; Cypriniformes; Cyprinidae. The transcript is spliced from 3 exons.
AUCACUGAGAAUCUAAAUUAUUUAAGGCAUUCAUUAUUUUUUAAAGAUGAAUAACUCUCGUUCAUCUCUCUGUGAUUCUCAUGUGGGUUUCCUGAAUAAAGACCGUUAGUUCUUUACAGCUGAACUUAACUUCAGACUCUGAACCUUCAGCUCAUCUCUGUGGUUGUUGAUCAAGAAUUAAAACAACCUGUUCAUCAAACACAAUACACAGUAUUUGUAAGCAGGUGUGUCCAGGCUGUGACCUCAACCUGCUCUAACACACUUGUCUAGAAAUCCUAAAGACCUUGAUUAGCUGGUUCAGGUGUGUUUAAUUAGGAUUGGAGCUAAACUCUGUAAGAUAGUGGCCUUCUGAGGGCACAUCUACACUCUUUUUCUCUGCACUUUGCCUUCCGUCUACACCGAGACAGAGAUUUUAUCCUGUGAGCUUUUCCUUAGUAGAUACAUUUGAAAAUGGCGUUCUCACAUUGUACUGUGAAAAUGGAAGUAUCUGAAAACGAUGUUGUACCAAGAGAUAUCUGUGCCUGGUAUGUGCUAUUCACGCUGUUGCUGAAGAUGAUAUAGUGACUCGCUACAUCUUUACCAGCAAUCCAAAAAGCUGCUAGAUUUGUCGAUAAUGGCUUUUUUGAAAUAUAGUCACUGAAGGAGUUUGAAAAGUCACUAAUCUGGCGACAAAGACGCUAAGUUGGCAACAUUUCUUCUGUUGAGAACUCACCAGACUGGACUGAAGCAUAUGUUUCCUCUUGAGUUUCCAAAGUCAUCCACAAAUGAAAGAAAUACACCCCAGCAUCAUGUCUGCUAAUGUUCACGAUAGUCACAGUAAAGACUUGCUCCUGUUUGUUCUCAUACAGAGAAAAUCUAGGAUCGAUUGCACCUCCAAUUGUUAAACAAGAUUGUAAUGAUGCAUUCUGG